Molecule: ribosomal RNA, 495 nt
Filed under: uncultured bacterium
Lineage: Bacteria
Description: partial 16S ribosomal RNA
Rfam family: Bacterial small subunit ribosomal RNA
Source: RNAcentral
GACGAACGCUGGCGGCGUGCCUAAUACAUGCAAGUAGAACGCUGAAGGAGGAGCUUGCUUCUCUGGAUGAGUUGCGAACGGGUGAGUAACGCGUAGGUAACCUGCCUGGUAGCGGGGGAUAACUAUUGGAAACGAUAGCUAAUACCGCAUAAUAGUAGAUGUUGCAUGACAUUUGCUUAAAAGGUGCAAUUGCAUCACUACCAGAUGGACCUGCGUUGUAUUAGCUAGUUGGUGGGGUAACGGCUCACCAAGGCGACGAUACAUAGCCGACCUGAGAGGGUGAUCGGCCACACUGGGACUGAGACACGGCCCAGACUCCUACGGGAGGCAGCAGUAGGGAAUCUUCGGCAAUGGACGGAAGUCUGACCGAGCAACGCCGCGUGAGUGAAGAAGGUUUUCGGAUCGUAAAGCUCUGUUGUAAGAGAAGAACGUGUGUGAGAGUGGAAAGUUCACACUGUGACGGUAUCUUACCAGAAAGGGACGGCUAACUACGUG